ACAGAAUGGCAAGAAAUUUUAUUUAAUACAAUUUGUACCACAUCAAGGUCAAAAUAUUUUAGCAUCAUGUUGCAUUCUAAACAGCAGGCAACGGUGGAGGCGAAGCUGGACCAUCAGGAACAAUAGGUGGGAAAGGAAUCACGGGAGGGAUUGGAAUGCUGGGAAAUGGUGGAAGUGGGAAUGGAAAGCUAGGUAAUGGUGGGAAUGGGAAUAUUUCAGGAAGUGGUGGGAACGGGAAUGGGAAUUCAAAAGGUGGUUCUCCAGGAAAUGUGAAAUCCUUUUCCGCACUUUUUCCAUUAGAAACAUCUGAUUUUUCAUAAAUCGGACGAGCCUCUCCCAAACAUGCUAGGCACACAAGCAAGAUCGCCACGACCAUUACUUUGGAAGCCAUUUCUUAGAGUGUUUUUCAGUGUUUGAGAGGUGAAUGUAAACUGAGUUUGAUGCAAUCCCUGCAUGUGCCUAAGAUUUAUAUAGGAGCAGCCAGCAGGCUAGUAAGUUGUAAUCAAUCUGAGAAGGUAACAAUAUCAGCUUUAUCAAUUCAUGCUGAUUUGUAACUGAAAGUUUCAAGUUCCUAUUUGGAAAUAAAAUAAUAAGUUAAAAAUAGUUAGAAGUCAUAUAUUGCAGAAAAUAUGGUAAAAAUCAUGAAAUAUGAAUAAUUAAGAAUUUGAUUAUGUAAUUAAGUGGUUGGGAGUGAUUUGAUUUUAUGUGUAACUUUAGAUUAGCUAAUUUUGAUUAUGUAAUAACACCAAUUUAUUGUAGUUGUUAGCAGACAAUAAUUAUAUAAUAUAUAUAUUGUGCAAAGUACAUCAAAUGGAAUCAAACAAUUCCCAUACAAGCCAAAUGCUUCUGGUCCAUUGAGUGCUUAAUCUUCAUAACCAUAGUAAUCAGUCUGGAUCUAAAUAUGAAACUUGAGCAACAAAUUUUCAAUAUAACAUUACACUUACAUUAUUAAUCAUAUGCUAUAUCUACACAAACUUACACUCAUCAUUUACAUAAAAAAGAAGAAAUAAUAAGGUAUGCUUUGCAAGAUUAGAGUAACUAUAAAACAAAGAAGUCAUAGCAGCAGAGAUAUUAGCUGUUGGUCCUGUUAUAUGCAAUUUUUCCGAUGACUGAUACAGGAAGGUUAACAAUGUGCCCUUGAUUACUAAAGAGUCCGAUUCUUCCAAAGCUUGCAACACUGCUGCUUAUUGUGGCGUUAUUGUACAUGGUCAGAACCUGUUGUCCUCCAUUUGCAAUGAAAAAAUGUCUAGGCUCCACACUAAGAGAAGCUCUGUAGGGAGCACUCCAACCAACACUGCAAGUCUCAUCCCUGGCAAUGUUGAUCACUGUUCUUGGACCAUUCUGGACUAGUUAAGUUUUGCGAUGGUGAUUGAAGGCAAAUUUAGGUCUAUCCCCGUGGUCAUUGUGGACAUACCACAGCUCUGCCCGGUAUAGUUUAAAACAACUGGUGCAGACCCAUUUAUGCAGCAUAGGAAAUUCAAUUUCUGCAAAAAUUAAAUGCAUGUGGACCAUUUGAGAGUUGACCUCAGUACUUCAUAGGCAUAAUUAACAGCUAAUUAACAGUCUAGAUCAAAAAUAUAAAACUUGAGAAAUAUGUCUCUUUUAAAACUUAAAAUUACACCAUCAUUAAUAAUUUAAUAUUCAUAUAAUCAUAUUCCAUAUCUGCACUAAGUUACGCUCACCAUUUACAUAAUAUAGAAUAGAAUAAAUAGUUAAGGCAUUCUUCGCAAUAAUAUUACAAUAUUGGAGUUGCUAUAUAAAACGAACAAGUUAUAGCAACGUAAGGUGUUGUUACUAACACAGUCGUCGGCUCAACAUUAAAGCAUAAUAAAUUGUCGUUUAGGAUCCUAAAUUUCGUUAGACCACCUAUACGGCUAUACCGACAUCUCAAAAUAGAAAUUGUUGAGUGACAAGGUUGCAAGUCCAACUCCGGCAAGGCAAGGAAUGUUGUUUCCAAGGAUGAUAUAUAUCCUGUGUCAUCAGGCUGACCCUGAGCUAUUGGAUGCCUCAAGCUAGCGGACACAAAUUUUGUGCUCAACAAAAACUUUUCGAAUACUUAAAUUUAUUGUUUCUGAACUGCUGACAGUAAGGCCAUGUCUACUGCAUUCAGAGAAGUCGCAAUAUUUAAAUUUCUUGAACAAUGCAGAUCAAUCAACCUGGACAACUAACUACUCCCUUCAUCCCAAAUUAGAUGGCCCCGUUGACUUUGGGCACACAAUUUAAGGUUCAUUGACCGCUUAGAUACGUGACUUAUUUUUAAAAUUUUAUUUUUGCAAAUAAAAAUUAAAAUAUGAAAUUUUCAUUUAUAAAAAAAAAUAAAAAAAAAUUUCGGAAGUAGACGGUCAAUACACCUAAAGUUACGUGCCCAGAGUCAACGGGGACAUCUAAUUUGGGAUGGAGGUAGUAUCAUUAUUUAGUUAUUACAAUACAUUCCCCGGAGAUAAUAAUGUUCUUGGAGAUGCAGAACACAAUGUAACAAGUAAUGCUCAACACGAAAUCUACUGGCAAAAGCAAUGUUAAUAAAAAAUUGUUGAACACUGAACUUGAACUUGGUAAGUAUAAUAAGGCAAUAUCAUAUCCCUGAUGUAUUUUCUAUGUGAUCAUCGACAUUCUCCUCUAGCCAUCACUAAAAAUUAAAAAAAUCGAUGUUUUGUUUGCAAAAUCAGUGUUCUGCUCUUUAUUUUAUAUGUCGAAGCAGUCAAGCAGAACGAUAUAUUUUUGUUCAAAAUAACAUCUUUCUCCUUCCUCUAACAAUCUAUCACAGUGAUGCCUGAAAGAAAUUUCGCAUUUAAGAAUUCUUAUGUGAUAUCAUAAGAGUCGAUAACCGAGAUUAAUGCGAGAUAUAAAAAAUUGGAUAAUAACAUUUAAUUAUUUUAAUCAUUUUAUCGUUGUUCUUUUGUACUACGGUCGAUUUUGUGCGGUCAAUUUUAUUUAUAUAUUGAGCUGAGCUUGACUUGUGCAAUCAUAUUUUGAUAUAAUGCACCAAGUGAAGAUUGAAAGCUUUGCAUAGAACCAUGCAGAGUGACAAGAAAUUUGAGCAUACCAAAUACUAAAAAGUUGAGUUAUCAUAACAAUUCGAAAGAAUAUAAGUACAAAUCUUAUAAUUUUAUUUAAUGCAAUUUCCACCACAUCAAGGUCAAAAUAAUUUAGCAUCAUGUUUCAUUCUAAACAUCAGGCAAUGGUGGAGGCGAAACCGGACCAUCAGGAACAAGAGGUGGGAAAGGAAUCACGGGAGGGAUUGGAAUGCUGGGAAAUGGUGGAAGUGGGAAUGGAAAGCUAGGUAAUGGUGGAAGUGGGAAUGGAAAGCUAGGUAAUGGUGGAAGUGGGAAUGGAAAGCUAGGUAAUGGUGGAAAUGGGAAUAUUUCAGGAAGUGGUGGGAACGGGAAUGGGAAUUCAAAAGGUGGUUCUCCGGGGAAUGUGAAAUCCUUUUCCGCACUUUUUUCAUUAGAAACAUCUGAUUUUUCAUGAAUCGGACGAGCCUCUCCCAAACAUGUGAGGCACACAAGCGAGAUCGCCAAGACCAAGAUCAUUACUUUGGAAGCCAUUUCUUAAGUGUGUGUGUGUGUGUUUCAGUGUUUGGGAGGUGAAUGUAAACUAUA
This 3599-nucleotide long non-coding RNA is filed under the name Daucus carota (carrot). RNAcentral describes it as "long non-coding RNA (DCAR_LNC000092)". The record is from RNAcentral. Lineage: Eukaryota; Viridiplantae; Streptophyta; Magnoliopsida; Apiales; Apiaceae.